This 1705-nucleotide ribosomal RNA is filed under the name Staphylococcus sp. IGCAR-7/07. RNAcentral's name for it is "bacterial SSU rRNA". It matches the Rfam family "Bacterial small subunit ribosomal RNA". Lineage: Bacteria; Bacillati; Bacillota; Bacilli; Caryophanales; Staphylococcaceae. The record is from RNAcentral.
CACAGUUUGGAGCCUCUCGAGUUUGAUCCUGGCUCAUAGGUCCUAUAAGGUAACCGGUAUUGGAUCCCCUACAGUUUGUUCCCGGCCCUAUAAGACUGGGAAACUUAACGGAAACCGGAGCCCUACCGGUUAACAUAUUGAACCGCAGGGUUCAAUAGUGAAAGGCGGCUUUGCUGUCACUUAUUGAUGGAUCCGCGCCGUAUUAGCUAGUUGGUAAGGUAACGGCUUACCAAGGCAACGAUACGUAGCCGACCUGAGAGGGUGAUCGGCCACACUGGAACUGAGACACGGUCCAGACUCCUACGGGAGGCAGCAGUAGGGAAUCUUCCGCAAUGGGCGAAAGCCUGACGGAGCAACGCCGCGUGAGUGAUGAAGGUCUUCGGAUCGUAAAACUCUGUUAUCAGGGAAGAACAAAUGUGUAAGUAACUGUGCACAUCUUGACGGUACCUGAUCAGAAAGCCACGGCUAACUACGUGCCAGCAGCCGCGGUAAUACGUAGGUGGCAAGCGUUAUCCGGAAUUAUUGGGCGUAAAGCGCGCGUAGGCGGUUUUUUAAGUCUGAUGUGAAAGCCCACGGCUCAACCGUGGAGGGUCAUUGGAAACUGGAAAACUUGAGUGCAGAAGAGGAAAGUGGAAUUCCAUGUGUAGCGGUGAAAUGCGCAGAGAUAUGGAGGAACACCAGUGGCGAAGGCGACUUUCUGGUCUGUAACUGACGCUGAUGUGCGAAAGCGUGGGGAUCAAACAGGAUUAGAUACCCUGGUAGUCCACGCCGUAAACGAUGAGUGCUAAGUGUUAGGGGGUUUCCGCCCCUUAGUGCUGCAGCUAACGCAUUAAGCACUCCGCCUGGGGAGCGUGGAGGGUCAUUGGAAACUGGAAAACUUGAGUGCAGAAGAGGAAAGUGGAAUUCCAUGUGUAGCGGUGAAAUGCGCAGAGAUAUGGAGGAACACCAGUGGCGAAGGCGACUUUCUGGUCUGUAACUGACGCUGAUGUGCGAAAGCGUGGGGAUCAAACAGGAUUAGAUACCCUGGUAGUCCACGCCGUAAACGAUGAGUGCUAAGUGUUAGGGGGUUUCCGCCCCUUAGUGCUGCAGCUAACGCAUUAAGCACUCCGCCUGGGGAGUACGACCGCAAGGUUGAAACUCAAAGGAAUUGACGGGGACCCGCACAAGCGGUGGAGCAUGUGGUUUAAUUCGAAGCAACGCGAAGAACCUUACCAAAUCUUGACAUCCUUUGACCGCUCUAGAGAUAGAGUUUUCCCCUUCGGGGGACAAAGUGACAGGUGGUGCAUGGUUGUCGUCAGCUCGUGUCGUGAGAUGUUGGGUUAAGUCCCGCAACGAGCGCAACCCUUAAGCUUAGUUGCCAUCAUUAAGUUGGGCACUCUAAGUUGACUGCCGGUGACAAACCGGAGGAAGGUGGGGAUGACGUCAAAUCAUCAUGCCCCUUAUGAUUUGGGCUACACACGUGCUACAAUGGACAAUACAAAGGGCAGCUAAACCGCGAGGUCAAGCAAAUCCCAUAAAGUUGUUCUCAGUUCGGAUUGUAGUCUGCAACUCGACUACAAGAAGUAGGAAUCGAACGUAAUCGUAGAUCAGCAUGGUUCGACGAAUACGUUCCCGGGUGUAACACACACCCCCCGUCACGCCCCUAGAGAGUUUAACCCCGGCUCGCCAAGUCGUAACAAGGUAACCAGUAUGGCUCCUCUAGAGU